CGUACACUCCUACGGGAGGCAGCAGUGGGGAAUUUUGGACAAUGGGCGAAAGCCUGAUCCAGCCAUGCCGCGUGCAGGAUGAAGGCCUUCGGGUUGUAAACUGCUUUUGUACGGAACGAAACGGCCUUUUCUAAUAAAGAGGGCUAAUGACGGUACCGUAAGAAUAAGCACCGGCUAACUACGUGCCAGCAGCCGCGGUAAUACGUAGGGUGCAAGCGUUAAUCGGAAUUACUGGGCGUAAAGCGUGCGCAGGCGGUUAUGUAAGACAGUUGUGAAAUCCCCGGGCUCAACCUGGGAACUGCAUCUGUGACUGCAUAGCUAGAGUACGGUAGAGGGGGAUGGAAUUCCGCGUGUAGCAGUGAAAUGCGUAGAUAUGCGGAGGAACACCGAUGGCGAAGGCAAUCCCCUGGACCUGUACUGACGCUCAUGCACGAAAGCGUGGGGAGCAAACAGGAUUAGAUACCCCAGUAGUCCCAUG
RNAcentral lists this ribosomal RNA (478 nucleotides) under uncultured organism. RNAcentral describes it as "partial 16S ribosomal RNA". It matches the Rfam family "Bacterial small subunit ribosomal RNA", at positions 330 to 799 of the family's 1533-position model. The record is from RNAcentral.